Molecule: small RNA, 974 nt
Filed under: uncultured Tubaria
Lineage: Eukaryota; Fungi; Basidiomycota; Agaricomycetes; Agaricales; Strophariaceae
Description: eukaryotic LSU rRNA
Rfam family: Eukaryotic large subunit ribosomal RNA (bases 688-974)
Source: RNAcentral
CUUGGUCAUUUAGAGGAAGUAAAAGUCGUAACAAGGUUUCCGUAGGUGAACCUGCGGAAGGAUCAUUAUUGAAUAAACCUGAUGGGUUGUCGCUGGCUCUCUAGGGAGCAUGUGCACGCCUGUCAUCUUUAUAUUUCCACCUGUGCACCUUUUGUAGAUCUGGAUAACUCUCGAGGUUAAACUCGGACGGGAGCGCUGCCUUUUAGCUUCACUCCAAUUUCCAGGUCUAUGUUUUUCAUACACCCCAUAGUAUGUAACAGAAUGUAUCAAAGGGCCUUUGUGCCUAUAAACAUUAUACAACUUUCAGCAACGGAUCUCUUGGCUCUCGCAUCGAUGAAGAACGCAGCGAAAUGCGAUAAGUAAUGUGAAUUGCAGAAUUCAGUGAAUCAUCGAAUCUUUGAACGCACCUUGCGCUCCUUGGUAUUCCGAGGAGCAUGCCUGUUUGAGUGUCAUUAAAUUAUCAACCUCUCCUAGCUUUUCUAUGAGCUUAGUGAGAGGCUUGGAUGUGGGGGUUCUUUUGCUGGCUUCAAAGAAUGAGGUCAGCUCCCCUGAAAUGCAUUAGCGGGGAAUCCCUUGUGAACCGUCUAUUGGUAUGAUAAUUAUCUAUGCCGUUGACGCGACGCACUUUUGUAAUGGGUGUUCAGCUUCUAACAGUCCAUUGAAUUGGACAAUACUUAAAUGACAAUUUGACCUCAAAUCAGGUAGGACUACCCGCUGAACUUAAGCAUAUCAAUAAGCGGAGGAAAAGAAACUAACAAGGAUUCCCCUAGUAACUGCGAGUGAAGCGGGAAAAGCUCAAAUUUAAAAUCUGGCGGUCUCUGGCCGUCCGAGUUGUAAUCUAGAGAAGUGUUAUCCGCGCUGGACCGUGUACAAGUCUCCUGGAAUGGAGCGUCAUAGAGGGUGGGAAUCCCGUCUUUGACACGGACUACCAGGGCUUUGUGAUGCGCUCUCAAAGAGUCGAGUUGUUUGGGAAU